GGUUAAGCGACUAAGCGUACACGGUGGAUGCCCUGGCAGUCAGAGGCGAUGAAGGACGUGCUAAUCUGCGAUAAGCGUCGGUGAGGUGAUAUGAACCGUUAUAACCGGCGAUUUCCGAAUGGGGAAACCCAGUGUGUUUCGACACACUAUCAUUAACUGAAUCCAUAGGUUAAUGAGGCGAACCGGGGGAACUGAAACAUCUAAGUACCCCGAGGAAAAGAAAUCAACCGAGAUUCCCCCAGUAGCGGCGAGCGAACGGGGAGGAGCCCAGAGCCUGAAUCAGUGUGUGUGUUAGUGGAAGCGUCUGGAAAGGCGCGCGAUACAGGGUGACAGCCCCGUACACAAAAAUGCACAUAUUGUGAGCUCGAUGAGUAGGGCGGGACACGUGGUAUCCUGUCUGAAUAUGGGGGGACCAUCCUCCAAGGCUAAAUACUCCUGACUGACCGAUAGUGAACCAGUACCGUGAGGGAAAGGCGAAAAGAACCCCGGCGAGGGGAGUGAAAAAGAACCUGAAACCGUGUACGUACAAGCAGUGGGAGCCUCUUAAUGGGGUGACUGCGUACCUUUUGUAUAAUGGGUCAGCGACUUAUAUUCUGUAGCAAGGUUAACCGAAUAGGGGAGCCGAAGGGAAACCGAGUCUUAACUGGGCGUUAAGUUGCAGGGUAUAGACCCGAAACCCGGUGAUCUAGCCAUGGGCAGGUUGAAGGUUGGGUAACACUAACUGGAGGACCGAACCGACUAAUGUUGAAAAAUUAGCGGAUGACUUGUGGCUGGGGGUGAAAGGCCAAUCAAACCGGGAGAUAGCUGGUUCUCCCCGAAAGCUAUUUAGGUAGCGCCUCGUGAAUUCAUCUCCGGGGGUAGAGCACUGUUUCGGCAAGGGGGUCAUCCCGACUUACCAACCCGAUGCAAACUGCGAAUACCGGAGAAUGUUAUCACGGGAGACACACGGCGGGUGCUAACGUCCGUCGUGAAGAGGGAAACAACCCAGACCGCCAGCUAAGGUCCCAAAGUCAUGGUUAAGUGGGAAACGAUGUGGGAAGGCCCAGACAGCCAGGAUGUUGGCUUAGAAGCAGCCAUCAUUUAAAGAAAGCGUAAUAGCUCACUGGUCGAGUCGGCCUGCGCGGAAGAUGUAACGGGGCUAAACCAUGCACCGAAGCUGCGGCAGCGACACUAUGUGUUGUUGGGUAGGGGAGCGUUCUGUAAGCCUGUGAAGGUGGCCUGUGAGG
This 1226-nucleotide ribosomal RNA is filed under the name Escherichia coli. RNAcentral's name for it is "partial 23S ribosomal RNA". It matches the Rfam family "Bacterial large subunit ribosomal RNA", at positions 1 to 1268 of the family's 2925-position model. Lineage: Bacteria; Pseudomonadati; Pseudomonadota; Gammaproteobacteria; Enterobacterales; Enterobacteriaceae. The record is from RNAcentral.